Molecule: long non-coding RNA, 661 nt
Filed under: Daphnia pulicaria
Lineage: Eukaryota; Metazoa; Arthropoda; Branchiopoda; Diplostraca; Daphniidae
Description: uncharacterized LOC124348442, transcript variant X1
Source: RNAcentral
UUCCGACCGCUGUGCUUUUGGUGGUUCUUUACUGACCGCUAGAUGCCACUGACUUCAAUUGAUUUGUUUUUAAGCACAGCCUGCAUCAUGAACAUGGCGAAACAAAUUGUUGCUAUUUUAUACUUAUUUUUCUGUGAUUCAAAAUUACCGAAUUGAACUUCGUUUGUAAAGUCUUGAGUCAUUCCAACAAGUUGACUUAGUGCUUCUCAGCCAUGAGCCAUCCAUUAGAUCCACUGUCAAAAGCCUGAAACUCAAAUUUGAAGCCCACAUGUAUUGGAAUUAUGCAAAUGUGCCGAUAAGGAUCUUUUCCGAAUCUUGUGAUUUUGAUAGUGUAGCCUGUUAGUUAUAACAAUGAUUUCUACAUCUGUUUAGAAGUCAACCCAGUCCAGAGAUAGAGUUUCAGUUUAGUGUGGAGUGUGAAACGAAUAACCUGCCAUGUGCAUGUGCAUUUACCAGAUCUGCUUGAUGAAAGUCAAAUGCCUUGCUGAAUUUUGUAAACAUCAUUAUCACCUUUUACCAUGCUACUAUGAGUCUAUGAGUUAAUGACUGAGAAGUUCUGCUCCGUCCGCUGUGACACACACCUGCAGCCACUCGCCACGGGAUUAUGCCAAGGUAAUGCAGCGGAGACGUCGAGAAGAUGAACACCAAAACAUCGCCGGUA